AUUGGACGCUGGCGGCAGGCUUAACACAUGCAAGUCGAGCGGGGUGAUGGUGCUUGCACUAUCACUUAGCGGCGGACGGGUGAGUAAUGCUUAGGAAUCUGCCUAUUAGUGGGGGACAACAUCUCGAAAGGGAUGCUAAUACCGCAUACGUCCUACGGGAGAAAGCCGGGGAUCACUUGUGACAUUGCGCUAAUAGAUGAGCCUAAGUCGGAUUAGCUAGUUGGUGGGGUAAAGGCCUACCAAGGCGACGAUCUGUAGCGGGUCUGAGAGGAUGACCCGCCACACUGGGACUGAGACACGGCCCAGACUCCUACGGGAGGCAGCAGUGGGGAAUAUUGGACAAUGGGGGGAACCCUGAUCCAGCCAUGCCGCGUGUGUGAAGAAGGCCUUAUGGUUGUAAAGCACUUUAAGCGAGGAGGAGGCUCUUUUGGUUAAUACCCAAGAUGAGUGGACGUUACUCGCAGAAUAAGCACCGGCUAACUCUGUGCCAGCAGCCGCCGUAA
Molecule: ribosomal RNA, 503 nt
Filed under: uncultured bacterium
Lineage: Bacteria
Description: partial 16S ribosomal RNA
Rfam family: Bacterial small subunit ribosomal RNA
Source: RNAcentral